AUUGAACGCUGGCGGCAUGCCUUACACAUGCAAGUCGAACGGCAGCACGGGUGCUUGCACCUGGUGGCGAGUGGCGAACGGGUGAGUAAUACAUCGGAACGUACCUUAUCGUGGGGGGAUAACGCAGCGAAAGCUGUGCUAAUACCGCAUACGCCCUGAGGGGGAAAGCGGGGGAUCGCAAGACCUCGCGCGAUUAGAGCGGCCGAUGCCUGAUUAGCUAGUUGGUGGGGUAAAAGCCCACCAAGGCGACGAUCAGUAGCUGGUCUGAGAGGACGAUCAGCCACACUGGGACUGAGACACGGCCCAGACGCCUACGGGAGGCAGCAGUGGGGAAUUUUGGACAAUGGGGGCAACCCUGAUCCAGCAAUGCCGCGUGAGUGAAGAAGGCCUUCGGGUUGUAAGGCUCUUUUGUCAGGGAAGAAACAGCAGCUCUAACACAGUCUGCGAAUGACGGUACCUGAAGAAUAAGCACCGGCUAACUACGUGCCAGCCGCCGCAGUAA
RNAcentral lists this ribosomal RNA (502 nucleotides) under uncultured bacterium. RNAcentral describes it as "partial 16S ribosomal RNA". It matches the Rfam family "Bacterial small subunit ribosomal RNA", at positions 29 to 523 of the family's 1533-position model. The record is from RNAcentral.